This 268-nucleotide RNase P RNA is filed under the name Lutibacter sp. RNAcentral describes it as "RNase P RNA component class A". The stretch from base 1 to 213 matches the Rfam family "Bacterial RNase P class A", at positions 20 to 306 of the family's 367-position model. From Rfam's summary of the family: Ribonuclease P (RNase P) is a ubiquitous endoribonuclease, found in archaea, bacteria and eukarya as well as chloroplasts and mitochondria. Lineage: Bacteria; Pseudomonadati; Bacteroidota; Flavobacteriia; Flavobacteriales; Flavobacteriaceae. The record is from RNAcentral.
CUUCAAUUUAUUGGAGAGGAAAGUCCGGACACCAAAGAGUAGCAUAGUGGAUAACAUCCAUCCGGCGUAAGCCGAGGACAAGUGCAACAGAAAGCAAGUACAGUUCGGCUGUAGUGAAACCAGGUAAACUCUAUGCGGUGAAAUGCCAUGUAUAUUGAAAUUUUAGUGUGACUCGCAUUAUUUCAAGGGGUAGGCAGCUNNAUUUUUUUACCAUAUUCUUAAUUUCUACAUCGUUUUCGUGAUCCAUUAUACCUUUUUAAAAAAAAUA